This 552-nucleotide ribosomal RNA is filed under the name uncultured Bacillus sp. RNAcentral describes it as "bacterial SSU rRNA". It matches the Rfam family "Bacterial small subunit ribosomal RNA", at positions 449 to 993 of the family's 1533-position model. The record is from RNAcentral. Lineage: Bacteria; Bacillati; Bacillota; Bacilli; Caryophanales; Bacillaceae.
CGGAGAGUAACUGCUCGCACCUUGACGGUACCUAACCAGAAAGCCACGGCUAACUACGUGCCAGCAGCCGCGGUAAUACGUAGGUGGCAAGCGUUGUCCGGAAUUAUUGGGCGUAAAGCGCGCGCAGGUGGUCCUUUAAGUCUGAUGUGAAAGCCCACGGCUCAACCGUGGAGGGUCAUUGGAAACUGGGGGACUUGAGUGCAGAAGAGGAAAGUGGAAUUCCAAGUGUAGCGGUGGAAAAUAUUUGCGGGGGAUCAGGAAGAACAUCGGUGGCGAAGGCGCUCUGCUGGACCAUGACUGACACUCAGGGACGAAAGCUAGGGGAGCGAAUGGGAUUAGAUACCCCAGUAGUCCUAGCCGUAAACGAUGGAUACUAGGUGUUGUCUGUAUCGACCCGGACAGUGCCGUAGCUAACGCGUUAAGUAUCCCGCCUGGGGAGUACGCACGCAAGUGUGAAACUCAAAGGAAUUGACGGGGGCCCGCACAAGCGGUAGAGUAUGUGGUUUAAUUCGAUGCAACGCGAAGAACCUUACCAGGACUUGACAUGUCGCG